AUACUUACCUGGACGGGGUCGACGGCCGAUCAAGAAGGACCGUGGCCUAGGCUAGUGGUCCACAUUGCACUUGGUGGAUGUGCUGGCUUACCAUCUCCCCAAGCGGGAGAGUGGACGUCAUAAUUUGUGGUAGAGGGGGUACGCGUUCGCGCGGCCCCUGC
This 161-nucleotide small nuclear RNA is filed under the name Aegilops tauschii subsp. strangulata. RNAcentral describes it as "snRNA U1". It matches the Rfam family "U1 spliceosomal RNA". From Rfam's summary of the family: U1 is a small nuclear RNA (snRNA) component of the spliceosome (involved in pre-mRNA splicing). Its 5' end forms complementary base pairs with the 5' splice junction, thus defining the 5' donor site of an intron. Lineage: Eukaryota; Viridiplantae; Streptophyta; Magnoliopsida; Poales; Poaceae. The record is from RNAcentral.